This 238-nucleotide unclassified non-coding RNA is filed under the name Hevea brasiliensis (rubber tree). The record is from RNAcentral. Lineage: Eukaryota; Viridiplantae; Streptophyta; Magnoliopsida; Malpighiales; Euphorbiaceae.
CACGUUCUUAUCUUUCAUGCUAGGCUGUUCUCCUCCUCACUAACAAACUCUCCACGUACUCCAAAUUUUAGAAAUGAUACAGAGAUAGAGGCCGCGCGAACGCAGGCCCCCCCUACCACAAAUUAUGACGUAGGCUCUCCCUCUCCCACUUGGGGAGACCUUAGACCAGCACCCCUCCCAUGUGCAAUGGAGGUCACUCAUCUAGACCAUGAGCCCUCUUGAUCGCCCAUAGAUCCCG